Molecule: ribosomal RNA, 253 nt
Filed under: uncultured bacterium
Lineage: Bacteria
Description: partial 16S ribosomal RNA
Rfam family: Bacterial small subunit ribosomal RNA
Source: RNAcentral
UACAGAGGGUGCGAGCGUUAAUCGGAAUUACUGGGCGUAAAGAGUGUGUAGGCGGUGCUCCCAGUCUGUUGUGAAAUCUCCCGGCUUAACUGGGAGGGUGCAGCGGAAACUAGAGUGCUAGAGGGUGGGAGAGGUAAGCGGAAUUCCUGGUGUAGCGGUGAAAUGCGUAGAUAUCAGGAGGAACACCUGUGGUGUAGACAGCUUACUGGACCACUUCUGACGCUGAGACACGAAAGCGUGGGUAGCAAACAGG